Molecule: ribosomal RNA, 491 nt
Filed under: uncultured bacterium
Lineage: Bacteria
Description: partial 16S ribosomal RNA
Rfam family: Bacterial small subunit ribosomal RNA
Source: RNAcentral
GUGAACGCUGGCGGUAGGCCUAACACAUGCAAGUCGAACGGCAGCACAGUAAGAGCUUGCUCUUACGGGUGGCGAGUGGCGGACGGGUGAGGAAUACAUCGGAAUCUACUUUUUCGUGGGGGAUAACGUAGGGAAACUUACGCUAAUACCGCAUACGACCUACGGGUGAAAGCAGGGGAUCUUCGGACCUUGCGCGAUUGAAUGAGCCGAUGUCGGAUUAGCUAGUUGGCGGGGUAAAGGCCCAACAAGGCGACGAUCCGUAGCUGGUCUGAGAGGAUGAUCAGCCACACUGGAACUGAGACACGGUCCAGACUCCUACGGGAGGCAGCAGUGGGGAAUAUUGGACAAUGGGCGCAAGCCUGAUCCAGCCAUACCGCGUGGGUGAAGAAGGCCUUCGGGUUGUAAAGCCCUUUUGUUGGGAAAGAAAAGCAGCAGGUUAAUACCCCGCUGUUCUGACGGUACCCAAAGAAUAAGCACCGGCUAACUUCGUG